This 253-nucleotide ribosomal RNA is filed under the name uncultured bacterium. RNAcentral describes it as "partial 16S ribosomal RNA". It matches the Rfam family "Bacterial small subunit ribosomal RNA", at positions 524 to 776 of the family's 1533-position model. The record is from RNAcentral.
UACGAAGGGUGCAAGCGUUAAUCGGAAUUACUGGGCGUAAAGCGCGCGUAGGUGGUUCAGUAAGUUGGAAGUGAAAUCCCCGGGCUCAACCUGGGAACUGCUUUCAAAACUGCUGAGCUAGAGUACGGUAGAGGGUGGUGGAAUUUCCUGUGUAGCGGUGAAAUGCGUAGAUAUAGGAAGGAACACCAGUGGCGAAGGCGACCACCUGGACUGAUACUGACACUAAGGUGCGAAAGCGUGGGGAGCAAACAGG